GAUGAACGCUGGCGGCGUGCCUAAUACAUGCAAGUCGAGCGAACGGACGAGAAGCUUGCUUCUCUGAUGUUAGCGGCGGAUGGGUGAGUGACACGUGGAUAACCUACCUAUAAGACUGGGAUAACUUCGGGAAACCGGAGCUAAUACCGGAUAAUAUUUUGAACCGCAUGGUUCAAAAGUGAAAGACGGUCUUGCUGUCACUUAUAGAUGGAUCCGCGCUGCAUUAGCUAGUUGGUAAGGUAACGGCUUACCAAGGCAACGAUGCAUAGCCGACCUGAGAGGGUGAUCGGCCACACUGGAACUGAGACACGGUCCAGACUCCUACGGGAGGCAGCAGUAGGGAAUCUUCCGCAAUGGGCGAAAGCCUGACGGAGCAACGCCGCGUGAGUGAUGAAGGUCUUCGGAUCGUAAAACUCUGUUAUUAGGGAAGAACAUAUGUGUAAGUAACUGUGCACAUCUUGACGGUACCUAAUCAGAAAGCCACGGCUAACUACGUG
Molecule: ribosomal RNA, 497 nt
Filed under: uncultured bacterium
Lineage: Bacteria
Description: partial 16S ribosomal RNA
Rfam family: Bacterial small subunit ribosomal RNA
Source: RNAcentral